AGCUUUUGCUGAUUCAAGUCCAAAUGAAGGUCCUUAUCAAAGUCAGCUAACUAUGGAAUUCUCCGAGCCUGAAAUGUGAGGAAAUGAGGGUGGUGAGAUUAUAAAAUCCCAGUGAGUAAACAGACACCAUCUAAACUAUCUAAAGGCGAGUAAAUGGAGACGAAUUAAAAUAAGUCAUCAUAUUGUAAUUUCAUUACCUUUCAACUCAUUUCAACCAAAUAAACAACUAGGCUUAUGAUUUCCUGAAAAGCUUGGCUCGUGCCAAAAAUCAUUCUCAUACUCAAUUAUCAAGGAUACCUUGAUCGAGGGUUAUCCCAACCAAGUUCGCCAAGGCUAUUAAAUAUCUUUACAUCCGAAAUUUUAGCCAUGCCUUGACGUUGGCUGAGUUUCACUCUCACGCGAUGGUCCACGUGAAGUGCACUCAAAUCUUUACCUCAGGAGAUACUUCAUCUAACAUCUCCCCUCGGAGGUAAAUAUAUAAUUAGGUUACUGUGCCCCUCUCAUAGGUAGUCCACGGAAACCCCCACCACUGCAGUGACUAUGGAUUAUUUUAUCUACCACCUGAUUUAUAAAAUCUUUUUCUGCAUGACAUGGUAAUUUAUCACAACCUAGCCUCUCAAGGCUGAAUACAUAGUACAAAUAAUUCUAACACCAAAAAUCAGUUUAGCCAUUCAUGCACAUAUAUUGUCAUAAGCCAUUCAAUUUAAAACCAUAAAUUUACAACACAAGCAGACAGUCUUCAGUUACUCUAUUUUCAAAACCAGUAUUCAAUUUUCCAGAAAAUUUAUAAAAUCAUUUUAUAAAAUCACAAUUUCUCCUAAAACAUAGCAAUUUACCAUUUAAACCCAUUUUCCAUAAAAUCACACAAUUGUAUAAAACUACUCUAGAUAAUUAAGAUGAUAAUAAGUUUACUCACAGUUCUAGGAGUCGAUGUACUCCUAAUCCAAGUCUCCAAGCACAAUUUUUGUACUUUUACCAGUGUAAUUUACUCACCACCUAUCUACAAUGUACAAUACAUAAUUCACCACAUCAAUGCUUGACCAUUAUAAAAUCAAUUCAGGCUAGGUGUAUAUGCAUGAUAUGAUAUGCAACUUAUCCGACUACCGCUUAAAUGCGGUGUUGACCUAAUUCGGCCUAUUACCCUAUUAAAUGACAAUUGUGUCCGAUUUGGCUCCAAAUUACUCCAUUUCAUUUCUAAUAUUUUAAUUCACUAAAUACAAUUCUAGUAAUCUAAAAUUCAGCCUAACAACCCUCACAAUUCUUCUUGAAAAUUUUUGCCAUUGCGGUGCACUAUCAUUAAAAAUUUUCCCAUUCCAUUUUCUCACCAUAAAUCAUCAUUUCAUUAAUUUUUCAACCAAUUCACUUGAUCAAAAAAUCAAUUCAUUACUUCUACACUUCACAUAAGGUUUGACCAUUGAAGGUUCAUGGGAAAAAUGGAUUCUUUUCUUGUUGUUUUGUUUCUAAACAUGCUUAACUAACUAAAAACACUAACAUAACUUAGAAUCAAAUAAAUCUAACAUCAUUCUCUCUCCAUACCCAUUCCAACCAGCCAUGAAUUCAUCAUGAAAACAUGUAAUUUAACCAUGAAAAAUGAGGAGAAAUGCAUAGGAAAGGUAGAUCACAAGUCAAAAUCAAGAAAUUUUACCUUUAGUCACUUGUUUUCUUGAAUUUUCACUAAUUUUCCCUUGAAUUUCUCCACCUAGGGUUUUUGUUUUUCUUUUCUCCCUUUGUUCUUCUUUGCUCUUGGUUUGGCCGGCCAUAUGAAAGAAAUGGGCUGAUUUUUAUGCCUUUUUAUAAAGAAA
RNAcentral lists this long non-coding RNA (1802 nucleotides) under Theobroma cacao (cacao). Its description in RNAcentral is "long non-coding RNA (TCAC_LNC006010)". The record is from RNAcentral. Lineage: Eukaryota; Viridiplantae; Streptophyta; Magnoliopsida; Malvales; Malvaceae.